This 503-nucleotide ribosomal RNA is filed under the name uncultured bacterium. RNAcentral describes it as "partial 16S ribosomal RNA". It matches the Rfam family "Bacterial small subunit ribosomal RNA", at positions 30 to 523 of the family's 1533-position model. The record is from RNAcentral.
AUUGAACGCUGGCGGCAGGCUUAACACAUGCAAGUCGAGCGGGGUGAUGGUGCUUGCACUAUCACUUAUCGGCGGACGGGUGAGUAAUGCUUAGGAAUCUGCCUAUUAGUGGUGGACAACAUCUCGAAAGGGAUGCUAAUACCGCAUACGUCCUAUGGGAGAAAGCAGAGGAUCACUUGUGACAUUGCGCUAAUAGAUGAGCGUAAGUCGGAUUAGCUAGUUGGUGGGGUAAAGGCCUACCAAGGCGACGAUCUGUAGCGGGUCUGAGAGGAUGAUCCGCCACACUGGGACUGAGACACGGCCCAGACUCCUACGGGAGGCAGCAGUGGGGAAUAUUGGACAAUGGGGGGAACCCUGAUCCAGCCAUGCCGCGUGUGUGAAGAAGGCCUUAUGGUUGUAAAGCACUUUAAGCGAGGAGGAGGCUCUUUUGGUUAAUACCCAAGAUGAGUGUACGUUACUCGCAGAAUAAGCACCGGCUAACUCUGUGCCAGCCGCCGCAGUAA